RNAcentral lists this unclassified non-coding RNA (1687 nucleotides) under Orussus abietinus. RNAcentral's name for it is "cyclic AMP-dependent transcription factor ATF-7, transcript variant X3". Lineage: Eukaryota; Metazoa; Arthropoda; Insecta; Hymenoptera; Orussidae. The record is from RNAcentral.
UGCGCUCAUGGUUGCGCUAUCGAUGUCAACUGGAACUCGAAGUAGAACGUCUCUGACGAGUAGAAAAUUGGCGAGCUCCGCGAAGUGAGAACCCGGUCAUGAUGUUUGCUUCCAAAAAUUACUACGUGUGACUUGAUUAAAAAAAGCUGAUAUGACCUUAAAUCGUUACAUCUUCCUCUCGAGGAAACGUUUUAAGUUCUAUUUUGUAUUUCCAACGAUGUGGAACCUUGUCACGGUACUGCAAUACUUCUGAAGAAAAUGGGCGACUCCGAUAAGCCUUUUGCUUGUCCCUGUUUGGGUUGUAACAUGAGUUUCACCAACGAGGAUCAUCUUAUGGUUCAUAAGAAGAAGCACGACAUGAUUUUAAACCUUGGUGUAAGCAAUAGGAACAAUGCCUUUGUAGCGGAUCAAACCCCAACUCCUACAAGGUUCAUUCGAAACUGCGAAGAGGUAGGCCUUUUUCAAGACUUGCAAAAUGUCAAUCCAUUCGAAGAAACCUUCCGCAGAGCUGUCGAGACUGGAAAGACCGGACCAUUUGCGGUAUCUGAGGUAGCAACAUCCGAUGACACUUUACAUACUCCACAUGUAUUCCCUCGCAUGUCAGAUGCAUUGGGAGUUCAAGCACUUUCUGACGAUCUCGUCUCUGCUUCUGAUAAAAAAACUAGUGAAACGAAAUGUUCCGUUGAAACACGAACCGAUACCAAGAUACAUCAAACCACCGAACAAAUGUCAAAAGACAUUACCAUUUUAACAUCCUCUACAGAAGUCAAACGAAUUUCCGAAACCAUAGUGAUUCAUGAACAAAACACCCUAACAAGAUCAAGGGAUGUCCAAGAAGCUCGUACGCCUCAGUUAUCUAUAAACGGCGAGGAAGUGCAGUUGUUGUUAAAAACUGCAGACGGGAAAUUUAUGCAACUCUCAGCUAUUCAAGUUCCUGAAUCACAGAUUCAACAAAGAAGUGUCAUUCCAAAAUUGAAACCUCAAAUUGUCGUAAUCAAAACCGAGCCCUCUUUGAGAAGUAUAUCGAAAACCAAAGAGAAUGAGACUCACGAUCCCAGACUAACUCUUGCCAAAAUGAAACUGAAGCAGAUGCUAGCUAAAUCCUCCAGAAUUGAAAGUGACAAGACAUCCGAAGAGUUUGAGGGAGAGCAAUUGAUGGUUCCUAAAGAGAGAAGGACCAGAAGCAUCGAUCGACACAAAAAGCAAGAACUUUUAGAACGUAACCGAGCAAGUUCAAUGCGUGCAAGAGCCAAAAGGAAGGCUUGGAUUCAACAACUCGAAAGGACAGUUUCUAAUGUUAACGAAACCAAUGCUGCUCUGCAAAUGGAGGUUCGAGCUUUAAGAGCCGAAGUUUCCAAGCUUAAAGUCUUGCUUCUUGCACAUAAGGAGUGUCCGGUUACCAAAGCCAUGGAAAAAGGUUGUGCUCUAUCAAAAGUUUUAGUUACCGACUUCGAGCUAGGAAAACAACGAGACAUACAUUCUAAUGCCUUCUUACGUUAAGAAAGUAUACAGCGCUUUAAAUAUGCCAAAUUAGAUCAUUUAAAUUAUUUACAUCACGAAAUGGAAUUUUAAUAGGAUCGAAAGUAAUUCCAUUGGGAGCAGAGACAAUCUCAGCAUUUCCAGUGGCUACAGGAAGCGUCCCUUUAAAAAGAAGUACCUUAUUAUCAGAAGUGCCAAUUCUUUCUAA